This 272-nucleotide long non-coding RNA is filed under the name Solanum tuberosum (potato). RNAcentral describes it as "long non-coding RNA (STUB_LNC004213)". The record is from RNAcentral. Lineage: Eukaryota; Viridiplantae; Streptophyta; Magnoliopsida; Solanales; Solanaceae.
GCCAAGUGGAUCCCAAUUAAUCCAAAAUAUUCCCAUGACUUCCGGAAGACAACCUUAGGCAUUGGCAACUCCACGUACCCGUCUCUCAUUUCUAUUUUGGUUUUUUUUUUUUUUACCUUCGUAACGAAUAACUUUUCCGUGAGACAUGAGUUUAUAAUAUAGUAACAUAACAUUUCACAAGUUAUUUUCGAGAAUGACUUUAAUAAAUUACAUGAACCCAUAAUUUUUAAUAAUUUAAAGGUUGAACUCGUCAACUGAAAUUCUAGAUUUAC